AAAAUUAUUAUUUUCUGAUGUAAGUCCACUAACUUUCAUUUACAAAUUGAGCCUUACUUAAAAUUGUUACCAAGCUUAUUCUUUUUUUUUUGCUGGUUUUAUCAAAGCUUUAAAAAGAAAAGGGGUCCUGGUGUGAAACAGAACUGAUAUCUUUUGUGUGCUUCAAUAUUUAAUGCGUCCAGGGAAUCGAGAGCUAUUAUUGUGCCUGUUGAAGUUCUGGUUGAUGGCCCACACAGAAUCUGCGCCCACUGAACUCCACAGAAAGCUCAGCAGAAUUGGACCGCCUGUCAUUCACAGAGCUCCACACGUUCCCCGCCUCCUCCUUGAUGACAUAUUUUGGGUAUUUUAAAACACAUUUUACUAUUUGAAUCCAUUCCACAGAUCCACAGAUUCUGCCCGGGCCUCAUUUAGCAGCUUGCAGGAACAUUUCAUGGGUCACCGCUAUCAGGUUAACCGCAUCAUCAUUCUGCCUGCGCCUCGGCCUCUGGAUCUCUUCCCAUCUCUCGGUUUGUAUUCCGACGCGUCUUAAUGUCUUUCCGUUGAGCUGUUCGGAUAAACCGGACACGGGCAAACUUGAAGGACGCUUGAUCCGUCGCCCCGUGUUCCCUGCAGAUCUCGGUAAAAGGCAGCACACGGGCUAUGCUCAUCCUUCGGCUUUAGGUGGCUUUGUGACUGUACACGUAGGGAUGAUAUCCGCACAAUUUCGUUGUGACAUUCAAGAGCCCAAAUAUAGGCUAACCGUCGCGCGCGGGGCUGAGUCAGCUGUCACGGCGAACCGUCGCGCGCGAGAGAGCUGAGCAACAAUGACUGUAAACAACUUUGAAAAUAUGCGAGACCCCUUGUCACACCAAUGUAUCCUGCGCCUCGACACACGGAGGGGUUGACAAGCCCUGUCACCUGUACAGGUAAAGCUUUGCCUCGCGAAAAGCCAUCUCUGUAUUUAGAACAAGUUUGACGAUCGCACCUGACACACAGUUGAAUCUGUCUCCUACAUUUGGAAGAUUUCCAAAACAUUUUCCUUUUUCUAAUCCAUUGCACUCCCCGUGCAGAAGAUAGGAGAUCAUUUUAAGAUGAAUGCACACAAAACGGACUUGAUCGGAAACCUUUAAGUCACCAUGAAAUCAAAAUGGAAAGUUCUUAUUUUUUAAUGGAAUACUGUAGUGUUUAUUAUAAAUAAUGUAUCCGUACACUGCAUUGGUUAUUUUUGUUUGUUUUUUUAUUCAUGUGCACUCCUGAUCUUUAAUCAAAAACGUUAACCUCCCCUCCCCGUCAAAACGACUCAUCUUCUCUUCCGGUCACGAGCUAUGGCGCAAGGGCGGAGCUAGUGACGUCAGGGGUAAACGCUGGGGGGAAAACUGAAGCUGAUGCUUUACUUCAUAGAAAUCAAUGCCUUGACCAGUGCUGACGCAAGCUAUGGGGGAAUAC
Long non-coding RNA from Cyprinus carpio carpio, 1425 nucleotides. The record is from Ensembl. Lineage: Eukaryota; Metazoa; Chordata; Actinopteri; Cypriniformes; Cyprinidae.